UUCAAGCCUUCAAGCCACAUACUUUAGUAUUUACCUACGAUACAUGCCUUACUUGUUAUUAUUACUGCUGAAACAAAGAGGAUACAUUAAUCCAAUUACUAUUUUAACGAAAAUUUCAACGCAAUCGUACAAUUAAUAUUACAAAUCCGAUUCCAAUUAAAAACUUAUUGCUGACUGAUUUCAAGCGGCCUGUUUACAUUUCAACAGCCGUAAUUUGUUGAAAAACAAAAAUUCAAAGCGAAAUUCCAAGUUCCACUUUUAAAUUCUAUUAUCUGCCUUCUACCUUCAUUACAGGUACGUUCGAAAAGUUAAAAAGUGACACGGAAUGAAUCAUGGCGUGCGAUCCCUAAGAAAUAUUACACCCAAGCUGGCACCAUAAAGCAAACGGCGUGGCAGAGGCGAUACAACGAUAGCGACACUGCGAGAACCGACAGACACCACAGAACUCGCCUUUCUGGCCGCUACAGGGUGUUCUGCCUCACGCUUAACACCACUAUCUUAACAUGGAGAUACUUCUAUUAAAGACGACGAUGUGGGCAGAACAAUGAACUAACAACCAAAAUAAUGGAUGAAAUGACUAUUGCGCUACACAGAAAAAUGGAUCCAGAGCGCAAGCAUUCAAAGUUGAAAAUAGAGCAACAAGCCUCGGGGCGGGCAAAGAACUAAUGUUGGAUGGCAUGAUGAAAUGUGACAGUUCAUUAUGCGGAAGAUAACGGACGCUACAGCAUACAGGGAACAGUGAAUUGCAGUGAAGAGGGGAGUGGUCGCGAUGUCGACCCGCGUUUUGAGUUAAAAUACGGCGUUGUACGAAUUAAACGCGUCAUGUGGAAAUGGAAAAGUUUUAUACACAAGGUAGAGUGA
Long non-coding RNA from Helicoverpa zea (corn earworm), 861 nucleotides. RefSeq lists it as uncharacterized. The record is from RefSeq and is a predicted model, not a curated record. The transcript is spliced from 3 exons. Lineage: Eukaryota; Metazoa; Arthropoda; Insecta; Lepidoptera; Noctuidae.